RNAcentral lists this ribosomal RNA (692 nucleotides) under Pseudomonas sp. B-MM-28. Its description in RNAcentral is "bacterial SSU rRNA". It matches the Rfam family "Bacterial small subunit ribosomal RNA", at positions 74 to 762 of the family's 1533-position model. Lineage: Bacteria; Pseudomonadati; Pseudomonadota; Gammaproteobacteria; Pseudomonadales; Pseudomonadaceae. The record is from RNAcentral.
AGAAGCUUGCUUCUCUUGAGAGCGGCGGACGGGUGAGUAAUACCUGGGAAUCUGCCUGAUAGUGGGGGAUAACGUUCGGAAACGGACGCUAAUACCGCAUACGUCCUACGGGAGAAAGCAGGGGAUCUUCGGACCUUGCGCUAUCAGAUGAGCCCAGGUCGGAUUAGCUUGUUGGUGAGGUAACGGCUCACCAAGGCGACGAUCCGUAACUGGUCUGAGAGGAUGAUCAGUCACACUGGAACUGAGACACGGUCCAGACUCCUACGGGAGGCAGCAGUGGGGAAUAUUGGACAAUGGGCGAAAGCCUGAUCCAGCCAUGCCGCGUGUGUGAAGAAGGUCUUCGGAUUGUAAAGCACUUUAAGUUGGGAGGAAGGGUUGUAGUUUAAUACGCUGCAAUCUUGACGUUACCGACAGAAUAAGCACCGGCUAACUCUGUGCCAGCAGCCGCGGUAAUACAGAGGGUGCAAGCGUUAAUCGGAAUUACUGGGCGUAAAGCGCGCGUAGGUGGCUAAGUAAGAUGGGUGUGAAAUCCCCGGGCUCAACCUGGGAACUGCAUCCAUAACUGCUUAGCUAGAGUACGGUAGAGGGUAGUGGAAUUUCCUGUGUAGCGGUGAAAUGCGUAGAUAUAGGAAGGAACACCAGUGGCGAAGGCGACUACCUGGACUGAUACUGACACUGAGGUGCGAAAGCGU